UACAGAGGUCCCAAGCGUUGUUCGGAUUCACUGGGCGUAAAGGGCGCGUAGGCGGUCGGGCAAGUCUGACGUGAAAUCUUCAAGCUCAACUUGGAAACUGCGUCGGAUACUAUUCGGCUAGAGGAAUGGAGGGGAGACUGGAAUACUUGGUGUAGCAGUGAAAUGCGUAGAUAUCUGGAGGAACACCGGUGGCGAAGGCGGCAUCCUGGACCAAUAUUGACGCUGAGGAGCGAAAGCCAGGGGAGCAAACGGG
This 253-nucleotide ribosomal RNA is filed under the name uncultured bacterium. RNAcentral describes it as "partial 16S ribosomal RNA". It matches the Rfam family "Bacterial small subunit ribosomal RNA", at positions 524 to 776 of the family's 1533-position model. The record is from RNAcentral.